Molecule: ribosomal RNA, 484 nt
Filed under: uncultured bacterium
Lineage: Bacteria
Description: partial 16S ribosomal RNA
Rfam family: Bacterial small subunit ribosomal RNA
Source: RNAcentral
AUUGAACGCUGGCGGCAGGCCUAACACAUGCAAGUCGAGCGGAUGAAGGGAGCUUGCUCCUGGAUUCAGCGGCGGACGGGUGAGUAAUGCCUAGGAAUCUGCCUGGUAGUGGGGGAUAACGUCCGGAAACGGGCGCUAAUACCGCAUACGUCCUGAGGGAGAAAGGGGGGGAUCUUCGGACCUCACGCUAUCAGAUGAGCCUAGGUCGGAUUAGCUAGUUGGUGGGGUAAAGGCCUACCAAGGCGACGAUCCGUAACUGGUCUGAGAGGAUGAUCAGUCACACUGGAACUGAGACACGGUCCAGACUCCUACGGGAGGCAGCAGUGGGGAAUAUUGGACAAUGGGCGAAAGCCUGAUCCAGCCAUGCCGCGUGUGUGAAGAAGGUCUUCGGAUUGUAAAGCACUUUAAGUUGGGAGGAAGGGCAGUAAGUUAAUACCUGGCUGUUUUGACGUUACCAACAGAAUAAGCACCGGCUAACUUCGUG